AAGAAGGAAAAUGAUCACUAGAAGGCUUAAAUCAUUCAGGUUCCUCCUUCCCAGGUUCUCUGAUUCUCUCUCAAGAUCCCAUCUUGCUGCAUAAUCUCUGGAAAGAAGAUCACAACGGUGGCUUGCCCGAGUUUCACCUCUAAGCUUUGAACUUGAAGCUGCAUUGAAGUUGGCUAGAUAUUUGUGCAGAAAAUUGAUGAGCAACCAGAGUCGCUUUGGUGGUCUGAAUGUCUGAUAAUGGAUAUGAACUUCAGUUGAAGCCUGGUUGACUAUGCUCGACCUAGCAGGGAGGAGAAACCCAUGGCGUGAUGGAAGAUGAGGAUCCGAAAUUGCAGAGAUGAUGUCUCAAGGAAUGAGCACUAUUUUUGGUUAUCAGGCUAAUUGAUCUUUGGUUAUUGCUAAUUUUUGGUGUAGCAAAUCAUGCUUCUCCGUACAAGUUGGUAGAGGCAUGAAGGCAAAACAACAAAAGGAAAUGGCCCCUGGUGUGAUAUUUGGUCAUGUUCUAGACCAGAGUAUCUUUAUAUUAAUUCAAAGACGGACAAUUGACGUAGAAAUGACAUGUUAGUCCAAUCUCGAAGGCUGCGGUUGCAGAGAACGAGUUAUGUUGAUAUACGAAAUCUGGGGCAUUGGCUUAUCGUGGCACCUUUAACCACAUAUUCUUCUUAUCUUUUCAGUUCUUUUAGGUACGAUCAUCUCUACUUGAUCAUUUCUGCAGAAUGGUUGUUGUUUUCUCAACUUGCAGACCAUCGUUGUCUGACAAAUGUCAAACCUCCGUCCGGGCCGACCGCCUCUUGUACGUCCCCGCGCGACACCCACGCCGGCCUCCUCCUGCACGUCCUGUGCUAUUCAGGUAUUAGGCUGUUUAUUGAAAUAUCACCACACUCCAAGAU
Molecule: non-coding RNA, 890 nt
Organism: Lolium perenne
Lineage: Eukaryota; Viridiplantae; Streptophyta; Magnoliopsida; Poales; Poaceae
Source: RefSeq, a predicted model, not a curated record